UACAGAAGGUGCAAGCGUUGCUCGGAAUUAUUGGGCGUAAAGGGUAGGUAGGUGGUCUCAUUUGUGUGGGGUGAAAGCCUUGAGCUUAACUCAAGAAGUGCCCCGCAAACGGUGAGACUGGAGUACUGGAGAGGCUAGCGGAAUUCCCGGUGUAGCGGUGAAAUGCGUAGAGAUCGGGAGGAACACCAGAGGCGAAGGCGGCUAGCUGGACAGUUACUGACACUCAACUACGAAAGCGUGGGGAGCAAACAGG
Molecule: ribosomal RNA, 253 nt
Filed under: uncultured bacterium
Lineage: Bacteria
Description: partial 16S ribosomal RNA
Rfam family: Bacterial small subunit ribosomal RNA
Source: RNAcentral